CCUUAGAUGUCCUGGGCUGCACGCGCGUUACACUGACGGAGCCAGCGAGUACUUCCUUGUCCGAAAGGUCCGGGUAAUCUUGUUAAACUCCGUCGUGCUGGGGAUAGAGCAUUGCAAUUAUUGCUCUUCAACGAGGAAUCCCUAGUAAGCGCAAGUCAUCAGCUUGCGUUGAUUACGUCCCUGCCCUUUGUACACACCGCCCGUCGCUACUACCGAUUGAAUGGCUUAGUGAGGCGUUCGGACUGGUCCAGGGAGGUGGGCAACUACCACCCAGGACCGGAAAGUUCUCCAAACUUGGUCAUUUAGAGGAAGUAAAAGUCGUAACAAGGUCUCCGUUGGUGAACCAGCGGAGGGAUCAUUA
Molecule: ribosomal RNA, 361 nt
Filed under: Stachybotrys chartarum
Lineage: Eukaryota; Fungi; Ascomycota; Sordariomycetes; Hypocreales; Stachybotryaceae
Also listed under: 6 other names
Description: SSU rRNA
Rfam family: Eukaryotic small subunit ribosomal RNA
Source: RNAcentral